RNAcentral lists this ribosomal RNA (914 nucleotides) under uncultured bacterium. Its description in RNAcentral is "bacterial SSU rRNA". It matches the Rfam family "Bacterial small subunit ribosomal RNA", at positions 33 to 932 of the family's 1533-position model. The record is from RNAcentral.
ACGCUGGCGGCGUGCCUAAUACAUGCAAGUAGAACGCUGAAGGAGGAGCUUGCUUCUCUGGAUGAGUUGCGAACGGGUGAGUAACGCGUAGGUAACCUGCCUGGUAGCGGGGGAUAACUAUUGGAAACGAUAGCUAAUACCGCAUAAUAGUAGAUGUUGCAUGACAUUUGCUUAAAAGGUGCAAUUGCAUCACUACCAGAUGGACCUGCGUUGUAUUAGCUAGUUGGUGGGGUAACGGCUCACCAAGGCGACGAUACAUAGCCGACCUGAGAGGGUGAUCGGCCACACUGGGACUGAGACACGGCCCAGACUCCUACGGGAGGCAGCAGUAGGGAAUCUUCGGCAAUGGACGGAAGUCUGACCGAGCAACGCCGCGUGAGUGAAGAAGGUUUUCGGAUCGUAAAGCUCUGUUGUAAGAGAAGAACGAGUGUGAGAGUGGAAAGUUCACGCUGUGACGGUAUCUUACCAGAAAGGGACGGCUAACUACGUGCCAGCAGCCGCGGUAAUACGUAGGUCCCGAGCGUUGUCCGGAUUUAUUGGGCGUAAAGCGAGCGCAGGCGGUUAGAUAAGUCUGAAGUUAAAGGCUGUGGCUUAACCAUAGUACGCUUUGGAAACUGUUCAACUUGAGUGCAAGAGGGGAGAGUGGAAUUCCAUGUGUAGCGGUGAAAUGCGUAGAUAUAUGGAGGAACACCGGUGGCGAAAGCGGCUCUCUGGCUUGUAACUGACGCUGAGGCUCGAAAGCGUGGGGAGCAAACAGGAUUAGAUACCCUGGUAGUCCACGCCGUAAACGAUGAGUGCUAGGUGUAGACCCUUUCCGGGGUUUAGUGCCGUAGCUAACGCAUUAAGCACUCCGCCUGGGGAGUACGACCGCAAGGUUGAAACUCAAAGGAAUUGACGGGGGCCCGCACAAGCGG